AGAUUGAACGCUGGCGGCAGGCCUAACACAUGCAAGUCGAGCGGCAGCACGGGUACUUGUACCUGGUGGCGAGCGGCGGACGGGUGAGUAAUGCCUAGGAAUCUGCCUGAUAGUGGGGGAUAACGUUCGGAAACGGACGCUAAUACCGCAUACGUCCUACGGGAGAAAGUGGGGGAUCUUCGGACCUCACGCUAUCAGAUGAGCCUAGGUCGGAUUAGCUAGUUGGUAGGGUAAAGGCCUACCAAGGCUACGAUCCGUAACUGGUCUGAGAGGAUGAUCAGUCACACUAGGAACUGAAGACCGACGGUCCAGACCUCCGUAACGGGAGCAGGCAGGUAGGGUAAAUGUUAGGACAAGUGGGACGAAAGGCCUAGACUCCAGACCUAG
RNAcentral lists this ribosomal RNA (387 nucleotides) under uncultured soil bacterium. Its description in RNAcentral is "bacterial SSU rRNA". It matches the Rfam family "Bacterial small subunit ribosomal RNA", at positions 26 to 391 of the family's 1533-position model. The record is from RNAcentral.